UAGAGGAAGUAAAAGUGUAACAAGGUUUCCGUAGGUGAACCUG
Molecule: ribosomal RNA, 43 nt
Filed under: Rhizosphaera pini
Lineage: Eukaryota; Fungi; Ascomycota; Dothideomycetes; Dothideales; Dothideaceae
Description: partial 18S ribosomal RNA
Source: RNAcentral